AGUGAACGCUGGCGGUAGGCCUAACACAUGCAAGUCGAACGGCAGCACAGUAAGAGCUUGCUCUUACGGGUGGCGAGUGGCGGACGGGUGGGGAAUACAUCGGAAUCUACUUUUUCGUGGGGGAUAACGUAGGGAAACUUACGCUAAUACCGCAUACGACCUACGGGUGAAAGCAGGGGAUCUUCGGACCUUGCGCGAUUGAAUGAGCCGAUGUCGGAUUAGCUAGUUGGCGGGGUAAAGGCCCACCAAGGCGACGAUCCGUAGCUGGUCUGAGAGGAUGAUCAGCCACACUGGAACUGAGACACGGUCCAGACUCCUACGGGAGGCAGCAGUGGGGAAUAUUGGACAAUGGGCGCAAGCCUGAUCCAGCCAUACCGCGUGGGUGAAGAAGGCCUUCGGGUUGCAAAGCCCUUUUGUUGGGAAAGAAAAGCAGCAGGUUAAUACCCCGCUGUUCUGACGGUACCCAAAGAAUAAGCACCGGCUAACUUCGUG
This 492-nucleotide ribosomal RNA is filed under the name uncultured bacterium. RNAcentral's name for it is "partial 16S ribosomal RNA". It matches the Rfam family "Bacterial small subunit ribosomal RNA", at positions 29 to 507 of the family's 1533-position model. The record is from RNAcentral.